UCUCUGAUAGCUCAGUGGUAGAGCAAUCGGCUGUUAACCGAUUGGUCGUAGGUUCGAAUCCUACUCAGAGAG
Molecule: transfer RNA, 72 nt
Filed under: Tupiella akineta
Lineage: Eukaryota; Viridiplantae; Chlorophyta; Ulvophyceae; Ulotrichales; Tupiellaceae
Description: tRNA-Asn
Rfam family: tRNA
About the family: Transfer RNA (tRNA) molecules are approximately 80 nucleotides in length. Their secondary structure includes four short double-helical elements and three loops (D, anti-codon, and T loops). Further hydrogen bonds mediate the characteristic L-shaped molecular structure. tRNAs have two regions of fundamental functional importance: the anti-codon, which is responsible for specific mRNA codon recognition, and the 3' end, to which the tRNAs corresponding amino acid is attached (by aminoacyl-tRNA synthetases). tRNAs cope with the degeneracy of the genetic code in two manners: having more than one tRNA (with a specific anti-codon) for a particular amino acid; and 'wobble' base-pairing, i.e. permitting non-standard base-pairing at the 3rd anti-codon position.
Source: RNAcentral